This 375-nucleotide ribosomal RNA is filed under the name Staphylococcus aureus. RNAcentral's name for it is "partial 23S ribosomal RNA". It matches the Rfam family "Bacterial large subunit ribosomal RNA", at positions 1634 to 2008 of the family's 2925-position model. The record is from RNAcentral. Lineage: Bacteria; Bacillati; Bacillota; Bacilli; Caryophanales; Staphylococcaceae.
AUAGGUGCCCGUACCGCAAACCGACACAGGUAGUCAAGAUGAGAAUUCUAAGGUGAGCGAGCGAACUCUCGUUAAGGAACUCGGCAAAAUGACCCCGUAACUUCGGGAGAAGGGGUGCUCUUUAGGGUUAACGCCCAGAAGAGCCGCAGUGAAUAGGCCCAAGCGACUGUUUAUCAAAAACACAGGUCUCUGCUAAACCGUAAGGUGAUGUAUAGGGGCUGACGCCUGCCCGGUGCUGGAAGGUUAAGAGGAGUGGUUAGCUUCUGCGAAGCUACGAAUCGAAGCCCCAGUAAACGGCGGCCGUAACUAUAACGGUCCUAAGGUAGCGAAAUUCCUUGUCGGGUAAGUUCCGACCCGCACGAAAGGCGUAACGAU